UUCCUACGGGGCGCAGCAGUGAGGAAUAUUGGUCAAUGGGCGCGAGCCUGAACCAGCCAAGUCGCGUGAGGGAUGACGGCCCUACGGGUUGUAAACCUCUUUUGCCGGGGAGCAACGGGCGCCACGUGUGGCGCCACUGAGAGUACCCGGAGAAAAAGCAUCGGCUAACUCCGUGCCAGCAGCCGCGGUAAUACGGAGGAUGCGAGCGUUAUCCGGAUUUAUUGGGUUUAAAGGGUGCGUAGGCGGGACGGUAAGUCAGCGGUGAAAAUGCGGAGCUCAACUCCGUCGAGCCGUUGAAACUGCCG
RNAcentral lists this ribosomal RNA (305 nucleotides) under uncultured bacterium. RNAcentral's name for it is "bacterial SSU rRNA". It matches the Rfam family "Bacterial small subunit ribosomal RNA", at positions 336 to 638 of the family's 1533-position model. The record is from RNAcentral.